AAAAAGGGCUUUUGUCAUGCAGUAGCACAUGUAGGGCAACUCAAUUGCUCUUCGUGCGAAAUUGACAUGAAGAGAUUUUGGAAACAUAAUUGUUUGGUAGUUGGGCAGCUGGUGAUUGUUGGUCCUGACACAUUU
Molecule: small nuclear RNA, 135 nt
Filed under: Microcebus murinus (gray mouse lemur)
Lineage: Eukaryota; Metazoa; Chordata; Mammalia; Primates; Cheirogaleidae
Description: U11 spliceosomal RNA (ENSMICG00000034741.2)
Rfam family: U11 spliceosomal RNA
Source: Rfam by way of RNAcentral